GGCUAACGCUGGCGGCGUGUCUUAGACAUGUAAGUCGAACGGACUUUCUUCGUGUAGCAAUACGUGGGGAAAGUUAGUGGCGAACGGGUGAGUAAUACUGGGGUAAUUCACCCUGGAGCGGGGAACAACUUCGAGAAAUCGAGGCUAAUUCCCCAUACGCUCCCCCAGACGCGAGUCUGGAGGAGGAAAGGUGGCCUCUACUUGUAAGCUAUCGCUCCGGGAUGAGCUCCUGGCCUAUCAGCUUGUUGGUGAGAUAACGGCCCACCAAGGCUUUGACGGGUAGCCGGCCUGAGAGGGUGAUCGGCCACACGGGCACUGCGACACGGGCCCGACUCCUACGGGAGGCAGCAGUCUAGAAAAUUGCGCAAUGGGCGCAAGCCUGACGCAGCGACGCCGCGUGCGGGAUGAAGUCCUUCGGGAUGUAAACCGCUGUCCCGGGAGACGAUGGGGCGCACACCCAAUACGUAUGCGCCUUGACGGUAUCCCGGAAGAAAGCACCGGCUAACUACGUGCCAGCAGCCGCGGUAAUACGUAGGGUGCAAGCGUUGCCCGGAUUCACUGGGCGUAAAGGGUGCGUAGGCGGGCCGGUAAGUCUGCUGUGAAAUCUCCGGGCUUAACCUGGAAACUGCGGUCGAUACUGCCGGUCUAGAGGACAGAAGAGGAGAGUGGAACUCCUGGUGUAGCGGUAAAAUGCGUGGAUAUCAGGAGGAAGGCCGAUGGCGAAGGCAGCUCUCUGGGAUGUUCCUGACGCUGAGGCACGAAAGCUAGGGUAGCAAACCGGAUUAGAUACCCGGGUAGUCCUAGCCGUAAACGAUGUACACUAGGUAUUGGGAUUUGCUCAGUGCCGAAGUUAACGCAUUAAGUGUACCGCCUGGGGACUACGGCCGCAAGGCUA
RNAcentral lists this ribosomal RNA (895 nucleotides) under uncultured Chloroflexota bacterium. Its description in RNAcentral is "bacterial SSU rRNA". It matches the Rfam family "Bacterial small subunit ribosomal RNA", at positions 28 to 896 of the family's 1533-position model. The record is from RNAcentral. Lineage: Bacteria; Bacillati; Chloroflexota.